This is a long non-coding RNA of Grammomys surdaster, 210 nucleotides long. RefSeq lists it as uncharacterized. The record is from RefSeq and is a predicted model, not a curated record. Lineage: Eukaryota; Metazoa; Chordata; Mammalia; Rodentia; Muridae. The transcript has 3 exons.
UGGUCACUGUACUCUCUGGAAGCUGGUACUGGAGGUGUCCAUGGGGCCCAGGGAGCUGGCAGGACUGGAGACUCCCGCACAGCUGUCGAAAUGGAGCCAGCCCUUCAUUUCACUGAGAGAGAAUUCCUGAGAUGUCUUCAAGACGUGUGGACAAUUGGAAUGAGUAACAGGUGUCUCUGAAGCCCUGAAAGGCCUCUCAGCUUGGCAUGG